This 94-nucleotide transfer RNA is filed under the name Nocardioides daphniae. RNAcentral describes it as "tRNA-Leu". The record is from RNAcentral. Lineage: Bacteria; Bacillati; Actinomycetota; Actinomycetes; Propionibacteriales; Nocardioidaceae.
GACGACGCCGGCCGUGGUGGGAAGGUCACCGAGCUUGAGGCGCUCGGAGUUGGCCUUCAUGCGACGCGACCAGUUCUGCUCCUGGGCGCCGGUG